AGGACAGUGACUGACCUUUACAGUCUGCUGGAGUUGGUCCAUCUCUGGGACAAAGGCCCCCAGUUUCCCCUGUUGUCCUGAUUAUGUCUGUGUAACAGAAAAGAUGAAGUCUUGUGUUUGUUUAGUGAGGUAAAAGAGACAAAAGUGAAGCGGGGUGCAACGUGGGAGAGGUGUUGUUCCUGGGACAAAGUUGUAAUCACUUCUUCCGUGAUUACUUUAUUUAGCCGUGGAGUAACAGAGUGUCAGAUCAUUUCCCAGCAGGGUGAAAGUCCACUCCACAGGCAGAGUCCUGGAGCAGCCCCGUAAACCGUUUGGCAAAACAUCCCUCUCUGAGAGAGCAGUCUGGUUAAAGGAUAUCUGUUGCACUACGCCAGACCACUGAAUUAUUAAAAGAGCUGAGUCUUUGGAUUUCCACUGGAGCUGCUAGUGCAGCAACACACAUAAAACGCAAGUAGUGGACUCUGCUUCUUAACUUGAUUAAAGUGCCCUCUCUGAGAUUAACAGAUCUUAUGAAUGACAGACUGAUUGUGAAGUUGCAAAAGGGCAAAAUCAGAUCUCAUGCAGUCACAGCUACAUGCAGAAGAGGAGAGCAUUCCAGAGGGCUCCCGGAUCAUCUUCUCUGGGGAUCAUGGGAUUUCUUCUGGUGAACACAUACUAACAUCUCCAGAGAUGACGCAUGAAGUGGUGGUCAUCUCCCCCGGUCUUCCCACCCCUCCCAUCAGCCCUUAUCACUCCGCAAGGUUCCCAUCAGGGGAGUAUAAGGAGUCAAAAGUAAAUGGAAGUGGUUCAACGACUCUCAGCUUUGGAUCAUACUACGGUCCUUCAAAACAAAUGGUAAGUAGCGCAUAAAAAUAUAUUGUCUCACAAUAUUUGAAUUAAAUAAUCUAUUGAUG
RNAcentral lists this long non-coding RNA (893 nucleotides) under Neogobius melanostomus (round goby). Its description in RNAcentral is "lncRNA (ENSNMLG00000002030.1)". Lineage: Eukaryota; Metazoa; Chordata; Actinopteri; Gobiiformes; Gobiidae. The record is from RNAcentral.